This 717-nucleotide ribosomal RNA is filed under the name Triticum aestivum (bread wheat). Its description in RNAcentral is "partial small subunit ribosomal RNA". The record is from RNAcentral. Lineage: Eukaryota; Viridiplantae; Streptophyta; Magnoliopsida; Poales; Poaceae.
AUGACAGGGUGUAAAAACCUAGAGUCCCUUCCAGAGAGCCUUGGAAGCCUUCAAAACCUACAAACAUUGGACCUCACAGGGUGUAAAAAACUAGAGUCCCUUCCAGAUAGCCUUGAAAGCCUAAAAAACUUUCAUAAGCUUGUCUUCUGUUGCAUACGGCUUGAGCCCGGUCUAGAGAGAGUUGGAAGCCUCGAACGUCUUAGAACACCACACCUCUCUUACCAUUCAUCACUGAAGUCCCUUCCAAUGAGCCUUGGAGACCUAAACAACCUUUGUACACUUGACCUCUCAUGGUGCAAUAAACUAGAGUCCCUCCCAGAGAACCUUGGCAGCCUAAAGAACCUUCAAACACUGGACCUCUCACACUGCUGUGCAUUGAAGUCCAUUCCAGAGAGCCUUGAAGGCCUCAAAAACCUUCAAACCUUAGCCCUCUCACACUGCUUGGCAUUGAAGUGCAUUCCAGAGAGCCUUGGAAGCCUCAACAACCUUCAAACCCUGGCCCUCUCGCACUGCUUGAAAUUGAAGUGCAUUCCAGAGAGCCUUGGGAGCCUCGUCAACCUAAAAACACUCGACCUCUCAAAAUGCAUUGAACUAAAGUCCCUUCCAGAGAGCGUUGGAAGCCUCAAAAACCUCCAAACACUCGACCUCUCAAAAUGCUAUGCACUAAAGUCCCUUCCAGAGAGCCUCGGAAGCCUCAAAAGCCUUCAAACACUCUGA